UACGAAGGUGGCUAGCGUUGUUCGGAAUCACUGGGCUUAAAGCGCACGCAGGCGGCUCUGCAAGUGUCUUGUGAAAUCCCUCGGCUCAACCGAGGAAUGGCUGGGCAAACUGCAGGGCUUGAGGCGAGUAGGGGUGCAUGGAACUCUUGGUGGAGCGGUGAAAUGCGUAGAUAUCAAGAGGAACGCCGGAGGCGAAAGCGGUGCACUGGACUUGUCCUGACGCUGAGGUGCGAAAGCUAGGGGAGCGAACGGGAUUAGAUACCCUGGUA
This 269-nucleotide ribosomal RNA is filed under the name uncultured prokaryote. Its description in RNAcentral is "partial 16S ribosomal RNA". It matches the Rfam family "Bacterial small subunit ribosomal RNA", at positions 524 to 792 of the family's 1533-position model. The record is from RNAcentral.